GUAGGUGGCAAGCGUUGUCCGGAAUUAUUGGGCGUAAAGCGCGCGCAGGCGGUUCUUUAAGUCUGAUGUGAAAGCCCACGGCUCAACCGUGGAGGGUCAUUGGAAACUGGAGAACUUGAGUACAGAAGAGGAAAGCGGAAUUCCACGUGUAGCGGUGAAAUGCGUAGAGAUGUGGAGGAACACCAGUGGCGAAGGCGGCUUUCUGGUCUGUAACUGACGCUGAGGCGCGAAAGCGUGGGGAGCAAACAGGAUUAGAUACCCUGGUAGUCCACGCCGUAAACGAUGAGUGCUAAGUGUUAGGGGGUUUCCGCCCUUAGUGCUGCAGCUAACGCAUUAAGCACUCCGCCUGGGAGUACGGCCGCAAGGCUG
Molecule: ribosomal RNA, 369 nt
Filed under: uncultured organism
Description: partial 16S ribosomal RNA
Rfam family: Bacterial small subunit ribosomal RNA
Source: RNAcentral